Molecule: long non-coding RNA, 284 nt
Filed under: Elaeis guineensis (African oil palm)
Lineage: Eukaryota; Viridiplantae; Streptophyta; Magnoliopsida; Arecales; Arecaceae
Description: long non-coding RNA (EGUI_LNC045964)
Source: RNAcentral
UGGUGUAUUGGCUAUUCGUAGCAAGGCUACUUAGUUUAACUUUACAUUUUCUUGAUCCCUAGCUAUUCAGAUUCUUACUAUGUGUGUUGGCUAUAGUAGGUUCAGAUUUACUGUUUGAAGUACGAUGUAUCUAGAUAGAAUCUAUCGACCCUGAUAGAAAAAGAGUAAUCCUAUAUGAUUCACAAGACUGAGUUCAGAAAAUUUCUAGACAGUGUAAGUAUGAAUAUUAGAAAAAAAAUUUUAUGAGAUUCACAAAUGAACUUGAGUCGAGCCAAUCUAGCAUA